UGAGAGGUAGCGCGCGCGCAGUGUUGCUUUGGAAUUCAUUUGCUAUUGAUGCUUAAAUCAAAUAGGGUGGCAACUCGUGCAUUAAAAAUGGAAACCCAUACGUAUACAAUUCUGCUGCUGUUGGCUUUCAUUGGCAUUGUAAGAGGCCCAUUUUUUUAAACGGCUGCGAAAUGAGAGAAAGACAAAGAGAGCGCCCACACCCACACAUCUACAUAUAUAAGUGAGCGAGAAUUGACGAUAAUGAAAUCGACAAAACUAAAAUUCAGAAACCAAAUGGACUAGCAGGCUUUAACACUGCCACGGUUACACUUUGCAACUACUUUAUACAUAUGUACAUACAAAUGUAUGUAAAUACAUACAUAUGUAUGUAUGUGUAUUUCAUCUACCUCUCUUAUUGUCUCCCCUCAACAAAUUCAAACAUACAUACACAUGUAUAAAUGUAUAUGUGUGUACUGCACACAGUUUACCAAAACAAUAGUAGAAUGAAACUCGAACGUCAAAGGAGAAGUCUGGGUCUAAUAGAACACGUCCAUAUUGGAUGUCUUCCUUGUGCUUCUUAUCUAUUCAAACAUCCUGUGAAAUGAUGUUGAUGCAUGCAUAGGCCAAUGAUGUGCUCAAUUUUACAAGCUAGACAACCAGCGGCACAUUAGCAUUAGCAUUAGCAGAGAUUAUCGAUUGCUCACAAAUUGCUCAUUCACAACGGUCUUUUUUUUCAAACAUGUGAGACGAAAAAAUAUAAGAACGGAUGACAGCUAUUAGUCGCCGCGAGAAACACAAAAAUAAAGUGGGGAAAAAAACAACAGUGUAAACAUUUAACUUUUUUUUAGCCUUUAGUUUUUACACAUCUCCAGAACAAAAAUACAUAUACAUACAUAUACAUACAUAUGUACAUAUGUACAUAGGCGACUUCAGCAAAAAGGGAGAAAAUGUUCCGAGUCUAAACAAAUAAACAAGAAAAACAUA
Molecule: long non-coding RNA, 963 nt
Organism: Drosophila willistoni
Lineage: Eukaryota; Metazoa; Arthropoda; Insecta; Diptera; Drosophilidae
Exons: 2
Source: RefSeq, a predicted model, not a curated record